AAGCGACUAGUAUAGAUUUAUUAUAUGUAUUUGCAGAAUACAAGAGACUUCCAAGUGUUGUUUU
RNAcentral lists this transfer RNA (64 nucleotides) under Syndesmis kurakaikina. RNAcentral describes it as "tRNA-Cys". Lineage: Eukaryota; Metazoa; Platyhelminthes; Rhabdocoela; Umagillidae. The record is from RNAcentral.